GGUUGAUCCUGCCAGUAGUCAUAUGCUUGUCUCAAAGAUUAAGCCAUGCAUGUCUAAGUAUAAGCUUGUUUAUACGGCGAGACUGCGGAUGGCUCAUUAAAUCAGUUAUAGUUUAUUUGAUGGUCUCUUUUGAAUUGGUCAAACAAUUUACCCCUACUUGGAUAACCGUGGUAAUUCUAGAGCUAAUACAUGCGCAAGGUCCCGAGCGCGGGGCGGGGGGAAGGCCGUGGCCGUUCGCGCGGUCGCGGUCGCCACCCCCCGCUCGCAUGCCGCGGAGGGAUGUAUUUAUUAGG
RNAcentral lists this ribosomal RNA (293 nucleotides) under uncultured eukaryote. RNAcentral's name for it is "partial 18S ribosomal RNA". It matches the Rfam family "Eukaryotic small subunit ribosomal RNA", at positions 6 to 214 of the family's 1831-position model. The record is from RNAcentral.